This 404-nucleotide long non-coding RNA is filed under the name Fragaria vesca (wild strawberry). Its description in RNAcentral is "long non-coding RNA (FVES_LNC001152)". Lineage: Eukaryota; Viridiplantae; Streptophyta; Magnoliopsida; Rosales; Rosaceae. The record is from RNAcentral.
UCAAAUUUGCAGAACUAGCGGACACAAACACAAACGAGCUCCGAUCUCCGACCGCCGUCCGGGAACCUUGUACACCAUGCAAUACGUGUCAAUAUCGUGCGGCGAUUGCCCAGUGUACAAGGUUGUUGAGAUGGUGAAACCUCAUGCAUGGAUUCUGUUUUCGUUGUAUCUUGGUAUCUGAGGCUUCUGUUAAGUUCCAGAGCAACUAGCUAGGUGUUUGUAAGUUUCACCUCAUAUUACUCGAAACUCUUGCAGAUUUAUUUGGAAGCAUUUAUCUGAUUUUGAACAAUGUGUUUAUACUUCUUGUUGAUCAUGCAAAUCUAACAUUUCUCAGAGAUUAUUAUGCAAUUGAACAUUCAUAGACUUUCAGCGAUGGGGAUGUGCAUGUUGGUAUGGCUUGCCUU